UACGGAGGGAGCUAGCGUUGUUCGGAUAUACUGGGCGUAAAGCGCACGUAGGCGGCGCCGUAAGUCAGGGGUGAAAUCCCGGAGCUCAACUCCGGAACUGCCCUUGAAACUGCAGUGCUAGAAUUCUGGAGAGGCGAGUGGAAUUCCGAGUGUAGAGGUGAAAUUCGUAGAUAUUCGGAAGAACACCAGUGGCGAAGGCGGCUCACUGGCCCGAUACUGACGCUGAGGUGCGAAAGCGUGGGGAGCAAACAGG
Molecule: ribosomal RNA, 253 nt
Filed under: uncultured bacterium
Lineage: Bacteria
Description: partial 16S ribosomal RNA
Rfam family: Bacterial small subunit ribosomal RNA
Source: RNAcentral